GAGAUGUGGGUAGUCCGCACGAGCGCACCUCAUCUUUAGUUGCCAUCAGUUCGGCUGGGCACUCUAGAGAAACUGCCUGGGAUGACCAGGAGGAAGGCGGGGAUGACGUCAAGUCCUCAUGGCCCUUAUGGGCUGGGCUACACACGUGCUACAAUGGCGGUGACAGAGGGAUGCAAUACGGCAACGUGGAGCAAAUCCCCAAAAACCGUCUCAGUUCGGAUUGUUCUCUGCAACUCGAGAGCAUGAAGUUGGAAUCGCUAGUAAUCGUAGAUCAGCAUGCUACGGUGAAUACGUUCCCGGGCCUUGUACACACCGCCCGUCACACCAUGGGAGUUGGUUUUACCCGAAGACGGUAUCCUAACCUUUUUGGAGGGAGCCGGCCACGGUAGGGUCAGCGACUGGGGUGAAGUCGUAACAAGGUAGCCGUAGGGGAACCUGCGGCUGGAUCACCUCCUUUCU
RNAcentral lists this ribosomal RNA (459 nucleotides) under uncultured Alphaproteobacteria bacterium. Its description in RNAcentral is "bacterial SSU rRNA". It matches the Rfam family "Bacterial small subunit ribosomal RNA", at positions 1069 to 1533 of the family's 1533-position model. The record is from RNAcentral. Lineage: Bacteria; Pseudomonadati; Pseudomonadota; Alphaproteobacteria.